This 1311-nucleotide ribosomal RNA is filed under the name metagenome. Its description in RNAcentral is "SSU rRNA". It matches the Rfam family "Eukaryotic small subunit ribosomal RNA", at positions 512 to 1772 of the family's 1831-position model. The record is from RNAcentral.
GGCUUGAUUUGCAAACUUUAUUUAGCGAGGAACAAUUGGAGGGCAAGUCUGGUGCCAGCAGCCGCGGUAAUUCCAGCUCCAAUAGUGUAUAUUAAUGUUCCUGCAGUUAUUCGAUGCUCGUAGUUGGAUUUCUGGGGGCUGAGAUUGGAAGGUGGCCAAGGUCACCGCCGAACUCUUCCUUCAUCCACCUGUUAACGUUGUCCGGGAUUUGUUUCUCGGCUUCAGGCUCAGGUAUUUUACCCUUUCUAUAUAUUCAUUUAUUUAUCUUCUUUUUGAGUAAAUUAUAGUGUUUCAGGCAGGCGUGCGCCGGAAUACUUUAGCAUGGAAUAAUCGAAUUGGACCGUGUAUUCUUAUAGAAUUCUUCCUUAUUUGUUGGUUUCAAGGACACGGAAAUGGUUAAUAGGGAUAGUGUUUUCAGGGGAGGCAUUAGUAUUUAAUUUCCAGAGGUGAAAUUCUUUGAAAUAUUAAAGACUAACUUAUGCGAAAGCAUUUAUUUUGCCAAUAAUGUUUUCAUUAAUCAUUGAACGAAAGUUAGGGGAUCAAAGACGAUCAGAUACCGUCCUAGUCUUAACCAUAAACGUUGCCGACUAGGGAUCGGAGGGCGUGCACAUUCCGCCUUCGGCACCUUACGAGAAAUCAAAGUCUUUUGGGUUCUGGGGGUAGUAUGGUCGCAAGGCUGAAACUUAAAGGAAUUGACGGAAGGGCACCACCAGGAGUGGAGCUUGCGGCUCAAUUUGACUCAACACGGGAAAUCUUACUAGGUCCAGACAUAGCGAGGAUUGACAGAUUGAUAGCUCUUUCUUGAUUCUAUGGGUAUUUAUUUUAAUUUUGGUGGUGCAUGGCCGUUCUUAGUUGGUGGAGUGAUUUGUCUGGUUAAUUCCGUUAAACGAACGAGACCUCAGCCUGCUAAAUAGUUACCUGUCUUUCUUUUACGAGACUUGAUAACUUCUUAGAGGGACGUUGUGUGCAACCACAAGGAAGUUGAGGCAAUAACAGGUCUGUGAUGCCCUUAGAUGUCCUGGGCCGCACGCGUGCUACACUGAUACGUACAACAAGGUAUAUGCAUUUAUGCAUCGAUGCUGCUCCGAAAUAGACACAGCUAAAUCUUCUAAAUUACGUAUCGUGCUGCGGAUAGAUCGUUGAAAUUAUGGAUCUUGAAGGUGGAAUUCCUAGUAAGCGCGGGUCAUCAACCCGCGUUGAUUACGUCCCUGCCUUUUGUACACACCGCCCGUCGCUCCUACCAAUUUCGAGUGGCUCGGUGAACCUCUUUGGACUGUCGAGCAAUCGCGAAAUUAGAGUGAACCUGGUCAC